AACGAACGCUGGCGGCAUGCCUAACACAUGCAAGUCGAACGAGACCUUCGGGUCUAGUGGCGAACGGGUGCGUAACGCGUGGGAACCUGCCCUUAGGUUCGGAAUAACUCCCCGAAAGGGGUGCUAAUACCGGAUAAUGUCUUCGGACCAAAGAGUUAUCGCCUUUGGAUGGGCCCGCGUUGGAUUAGCUAGUUGGUAGGGUAAAAGCCUACCAAGGCGACGAUCCAUAGCUGGUCUGAGAGGAUGAUCAGCCACACUGGGACUGAGACACGGCCCAGACUCCUACGGGAGGCAGCAGUGGGGAAUAUUGGACAAUGGGCGAAAGCCUGAUCCAGCAAUGCCGCGUGAGUGAUGAAGGCCUUAGGGUUGUAAAGCUCUUUUACCCGGGAUGAUAAUGACAGUACCGGGAGAAUAAGCUCCGGCUAACUCCGUG
Molecule: ribosomal RNA, 433 nt
Filed under: uncultured bacterium
Lineage: Bacteria
Description: partial 16S ribosomal RNA
Rfam family: Bacterial small subunit ribosomal RNA
Source: RNAcentral